CAGCCUCUCAGGAGGGGGCUGCACGAGGACCUGAUGCGGCUAUCGGUCGGCGGCCGCCCUCCUGGGCCACCUGUACAGCGAUAGCCUGCUCCAGAGCUUCCUGAGGAGGCGCCUGCCCGCCAAGAAUAAGUAAGAGGCCUGAUCUGGCUGAGUUGCCCCAGGAUGCCCAGUGCUGGAACACACUUUAGGCACUCAAAAGACAUUGGUGGACUGAAAUUAUAAAUGACCCUGUCUUCCUCCUAAGAGCUUCUGUGGAGCUUCUCUUACUCCUUUCCUUCCUCAUCAUUUGACAGGCUCCUUGUGAUCAUGGAUGAAUAAGCACCUGUGCUAGGAGCUGUUGGGUAAAGCCUUCACCUUUCCUAGUGAUAAGAGACUGGAAAUUGUUCGUGUCAAAGCAAAGUCUUUUGUUUUGCAAGGGGAAAAUGUGCAUUGUGGUAGAACUUGAUCAUUGUUUAGGAAUUUCCAAAUAGGUAGGGCAAGGUGGUUCAUGAUAGUAAUCCCAGAACUUUGGGAGGCUGAGGCGACCAGAUCACUGAUGCUAGCUUAUCAGCUUCUUGAGGGCAAGAGCUGUUAUUUUUACUUAUUUUAUUCUGUUCAUUGAAAGUACUCAGCUGAAUGAACUAAUGUUCCUCAGUGAACACUGGGUGUUCAAAUAGUUGAAUGAAUGAAUCAGUUACUUAAAGAACAACAUUAGACAAUUAAAAUUUGAUAGUGUUACAGGGGCUUUGGAAAUCCUCCAAGUCUAGUUCUUUACAGAUGAGAGUACAAGUAAUUUGCUCAAGGUCCCUAAGCUUCUUAAGAGGCUAGGUCACACGUACAACCCGUGGUCUCGCACCUCUCUUAUUUCAAGGCUCUUUCUUGUCUCCAGCCAGCCUAAUUUCUGAAUACUUUUCGGUGAAUCUGACUUACAACUCAAACACAGAAAUCCUGAGCCAAAUACUUGCUUCUUGUCAACUAAAAAGGCUUUUGAGCCUAUGCUUUUUCAUCUUGAUUAAAUCCAACCCUGGGGAUAAUGGUCUAAUGAACUCAAAAGUGCUAUAUGAUAUUAAAACAACUUCCCAGCUUCCUUUGUACCUUUCAAUGAUAAGAGACUGGAAAUUGUUCCUGUCAAACCAAAGUCUUUUGUUUUGCAAGGGGAAAAUGUGCAUUGUGGUAUAACUUGAUCAUUGUUUAGAAAUUUCCAGAUAGGCCAGCAAGGUGGCUCAUGCCUGUAAUCCCAAAACUUUGGGAGGCUGAGGCAGGUAGAUCACGAGGUUAGGAGUUUAUAAACAGCCUGACCAACACGGUGAAACCCCGUCUCUACUAAAAAUACAAAAAUUAGCACUCCAGCCUGGGCGACAGAGUGAGAUUCUGUCUCAAAAAAAAAAAAAAAAAAAAAAAAAAAAUGGAAAAAAGAAAUUUCCAAAUAACCAGAAUUUUGACAAAGAUCAAAAGUCUUCUGUUUUUGAAGUUUUGCCAAACCCCAGUGGUAAAAUAACACAUGACAGGUGAAAAUGGGGAAGGGCGCCUUACUUGAGAUUACUUUCAUUGGCUAAAUUUGACCUUCUUCUCCUUAGACACAUUUAUGUCACCUGACUGUAUCUGCAGCGGUUGUCAAUCACCAACCAGUCUCUAGUUAGACCCUUGUUUUUUUGAGGGCUAAGGACCAUUUUUCCUUCUUGUUUAAAAGGAAUUCAGGGUUUCUUCUUUGUUCUUUUUGAUCAUUUCAUAUAGGCAGCACCUGGUUAGGGGAGUCUCAGUGUCAUGCUUUCAGUUUUUAGACCUUUAUACUUUAUUUUCUUUCUUUUUUCUGUUUUUUUUUGCUGGGAUUGCAGGUGUGAGCCACUGUGCCUGGCAUAGACCUUUAUAGUUUCUUCCAAGGUAUCUGACAGCGCACUGUGUCAGAGGAAGCAAAGCUAUCUUUUUUUUUUUUUUUGAGACUGAGUCUCACUCUGUUGCCCAGGCUGGAGUACAGUGGUUCGAUCCUGGCUCACUGCAAUCCUCCACCUCCCUAGUUUAAGCCAUUCUCCCGCCUCACCCUCCUGAGUAGCUGGGAUUACAGGCACUUGCCACCAUGCCCAACUAAUUUUUAUACUUUUCACAGAGAUGGGGUUUCACCAUGUUAGCCAGGCUGAUCUCGAACUCCUGACCUCAAGUGAUCUGCCUGCCUCUACCUCGCAAAGUGCUGGGAUUACAGGCAUGAGCCACCACGCUUAGCCAGCAGAACUAUCUUUUGCCUACCUAGAAUGAUUGGAACUUUGCUUAUCAAGUUCAGCUUAACCUUGGGAAUCUUCCCCAAAAGAUGGUUUAUUGGAGAGUUAUCUAAAUAGACAUAUUAAAUAUCUUCCCAGGAGGAGAUCUCCCAUUAGGUGUGUCUCCUUCUUCAAUGUAAAUAAUCAUGAUACCAAAUACAGGGAAAAGAGAUUUGGAUGGAGGGGGCAGCUAAGUAGAAAGGGUAGUUUCUUUGUUUUCAACAUUUAUUAUUUUUUUUAAAUUUUUAAAAAUUUUUUUAUUUUUUUGAGAUGGAGUUUCGCUCUUGUUACCCAGGCUGGAGUGCAAUGGCACAAUCUCGGCUCACCGCAACCUCUGCCUCCUGGGUUCAGGCAAUUCUCCUGCCUCAGCUUCCUGAGUAGCUGGGAUUACAGGCACGUGCCACCAUGCCCAGCUAAUUUUUUUUUUUUUUUUUUGUAUUUUUAGUAGAAAUGGGGUUUCACCAUGUUGACCAGGAUGGUCUUGAUCUCUUGACCUCAUGAUCCACCCGCCUUGGCCUCCCAAAUUGCUGGGAUUACAGGCUUGAGCCACCGCGCCCGGCCUAAAUUUUUUUUUUUUGAGACAGAGUCUCACUCUGUCGCCUCAGCAGUAGUGCAGUGGUGCCAUAUUGGCUCACUGCAACCUCCGCCUCCCAGGUUCAAGUGAUUCUCCUGCCUCAGCCUCCGAGUAGCUUGGGAUUACAGGCGCCCGCCACUAUGCCUGGCUAAUUUUUGUAUUUUUAGUAAAGACGGAGUUUCACCACGUUGGUCAGGCUGGUCUUGAACUCCUGACCCAGGUGAUUCGCCCACCUCUGCUUCUCAAAGUGCUGAGAUUACAGGUGUGAGCUACCAUGCCCAGCCUCUCUUCAACAUUUAUUAGAACUCUGUAAAGCAUAAUGUCCGGUUAUCAUAAAGUUGACACCACCACGUUCAUUCAUCAAGCAUUUAUGUAUCUACCAUUAAUAAAGCACUCUACUUUGCACUGCAGCAAUCACAGAGGUAAUGACUUGGUCCCUGAACUAUGGAAUUUUACAGUUUAGUGAGAGAGGGAGAUCUGUAAUACUAAUGGAGAUAUAAAGUAUUAUGAUAUAAUGUAGAGAAGGAAGCUGUACAUUCUGAAUUGGGAAUCAAGACAGCCUUACAAAGGAGGUGACAUUUUGGGAAGAGAGCAUGGGUAUAUCAAUUUCUUUGCUUGUUCUUUGGCAAUGGUUAGAAUACCUCAAACCAAUAAAAGCAGACAUUUUGCCCACCACUUUAGAACCAGGAGAGAAAAGAAGGUGUAAGAUCCUUUCUUUCCACUCCUGGCAGCAACAUGCUCCUGAAAGCUAAAUGUUGCUUUUGCAAUUCCAAGUGUCUCACUAUGGUUAAGAGAAAAGCUGAGUAGAGAGAGCCCUCCCUCAUCUUGGUCUCCUUCCUCAGUAAGGUUAAGUCAAAUGUGGCUUUUUCUUUUUGGGUGCCUUGUUUCAAGUGCUUAUUUCUAUAUUGGGAUGUUAUUUUAUUCUGGUUUCCACUGGGGCAUGCAGUAGCCAUGUGAUUGCAGGGAGUGGUCAAUGGCACUUAUAAAUGUAUUAAUGAACAUGACUCUGAAGUCCUAAAAUUAUAAGCAGUACUGAGAAAAGAGAAGCAAAAUUAUUUAGAGAACUGAGGUUUUGAUUCAAGCCUUUGCAUGUGAACUGGCUAUAUUGCUAACUUAUUUCAGGUAUUUUGUAGAAAGAAAGGCAAAUGUAAAGAGUUACCAACUUGGCUGUAGCUUCUGAACUUUAUCCAUCCUUUGGCAGCCAAGGAGAAAGCAGUCAAUAUGAAAUAAGUCCCCAACUGUAAGAUCUAAACAUAACCUCCUGCUGCUUCUGCCCACACACUGUCAUCCUACAGAAUAUAAUUCCACAUGGAGGUGGCAAUUUAUUAUGGCCUUCAUCCUCACCAGAGCUGCAUAUCAAUUUCUGCCUCCUUCAGAUGGAUCUUUUCUGACUGGCAGAAGGAUCUCUAUGAGGGUUGUGUGUUUCUGGGGAAAGCCUAGAGUUUAAUGAACUAGAACAGGAAAUGACAGGGGCUGUAAGUGACAAUCUGCUGCUUGCUUGAGUGCCUAGACUAAGAAAUGAUGUCAAGGAAGAUAUUGAAUUCUCAAGCAUUAUGGAAAUGUUCUAUUUAGCUACUUGGUUCUGUCUUCUGCUGAAUGUGAAGUUUUGUUGAUGGGUAAAAUGAUGUCAUUCCCCUUAAUGAUUAUCACUUAAUAGAAGUUUCAAAUGAAAUUGACUUUAAACUGAUUUUCCUUGAUUGCUACUUGGUACAUCUGCACAGAGAUCUAGAUGGGGUGAUGUGCAAAAUGCACCACACUAUUGACAGCCUGUAAUUUGAGGCUCUUUAUUUUCUACACUUCUUGGUGCUUGGAAAAUGACAGUUACCUAAAAAAUGGUUUAGAAUUCCUCUAAGACCAUAUUGCAAGCUCAGCCCCAUGAGGGGCUUGUUUUUCUUCCCUUAGUUGAAACUAACUUCAUGAUAAGUUAAAUUUAUAAAUACUAAUGAUCUCUGAUUGCAAAGGUCCCAAAUUUAAGACCAGAAUACUUAUGAUCUUUGCAUAAGCUGAACACAAUAAUACAAGAAAUCUGAGGCAAACUUUUCUUACAUCGCUUCUCAUUAAACUAACAAAGGCCAAUUUCUUCCUGCCAAAAGAAAGGUUAAGCAGCUGGAAAGUGUAAGACAUCACAGGAAAAUUACCUACCUAGCUUUAAAAAUGGAAGGGAGAAAGAGACUUGGAAGAAGGCCUCCUUUAUAGGUUUGCUAGAACUUACAUAUUAGGAAACUGUCUUCCUCCAAAAAAGCCAGAUUUCUGUGGAAACCAUGUUCUUAAAUGUGCCAGGGGCUAUGUUAACCUCAAUCACAUUAAUGCACAGCACAGAAAGAUUUACUGUUUUAAGAGGCAUGGGGGCUGGAUGCGGUGACUCAUGCCUGUAAUCCCAGUACUUUCGGAGGAUGUGGAGGGAGGAGGAUCACUUGAGCCCAGGAGUUUGAGACCAGCCUGGGCAACAUGGUGAAACCCUGUCUCUAUAAAAAAAUAUAAAAAUUAGCUGGGCGUGGUGGCAUGAACCUGUAAUCCCAGCUACUCAGAAGGCUGAGGUAAAAGGAUUGAUUGAGCCCAUGAGGUUGAGGUUGCAGUGAGCUGUGAUCGUGCCGCUGUUCUGCAGCCUGGGUGACAGAGUGAGACCCUGUCUCAAAAAAAGAAAAGAAGCAUUGGGAAAAUCCAAAGUAUGGCUUCUACUCAUCAAUAACUGAGGACACUCCCCUCUUUUUGUUGAAGAGUGACUAGAUAUAAAACAUGCUCAAUAAAUACUGUUGAACAAAUGCACAUAUGUUGUUGGAAGAAUCCCAGAUAUUAUCCAAGUAAUUAACUGAGAUAGAUGUGUUCUAAUUACAAGGGUUGAUCUUCGAAAAGAUACACUGCAGAUGUCCUAUUUCUGACAAUUAUUUUUUAUUUAUCCUGAUUUGAAACCAUUAUCUUUUCGUGUAUGAACUUUUUAUUCAAGUUGAAGCUGCAGUGAGCUGUGAUCGUGCCAUUGCACUUCAGCCUGGGCAACAGAGCAAAACCCUGUCUCUAGAAGUAUUUUUGAUUAAACAUAUAGACCAAAUUCACCACUUUAAAAUAUACAAAUCAGUGUAUUUUAGUAUAUUCACAAAGUUGUGCAGUCAUCACCACUAAUUGCAGAACACUUUCAUCAUCCCAAAAAGAAACCCCAUGCUUGUUAACAGUUGUUCCCCUCAUUCCCUCCUUUCCUGUUCCUUGCCAACCGUUAAUCUACUUUCUGUCUCUAUGGAUUUGUCUAUUCUGGAUAUUUCAUAUAAAUGGUAUCAUAUACUAUGGCCUUUUGUGUCUGGCUUCUUUCACUUAAUAUGAUAACUGAGGUAUAAUAUUCAUUUAUGUUGUAGCAUGUAUUCUUUUAUUUUUUUUGGAGACAGAGUCUUGCUCUGUCACCAGGUGCUGGGCUAGGGUGCAGAGGUGCGAUCUGGGCUCACUGCAACCUCUGCCUCCCAGGUUCAAGCAAUUCUCCUGCCUCAGCCUCCUGAGUAGCUGGGACUACAGGCAUGUGCCACCACACCCAGCUAAUUUUUGUGUUUUUUUAGUAGAGACAGGGUUUCACCAUGUUGGCCAGGAUGGUCUUGAUCGCUUGACUUCAUGAUCCACCCGCCUCGGCCUCCCAAAGUGUUGGGAUUACAGGCAUGAGCCACCAUGCCCCGCCAGCAUGUAUUCCUUUUUAUGGCUAAAAAGUAUUCCAUGUUUACCAUAUUUUGUACAUCCAUCAGUUGAUGGACAUUUGGGUUUUCAUCUUUUUGCUGUGAAGAAUAAUACUUCUGUGAACAUUCAUGUACAAGGUUAUAUGUGAAUAUAUGUUUUCAAUUUUCUUGGAUAUAUAGGAGCAGAAUUGCUGGGUCACGUGGUAACUGUAUGUUUACCUUGUUUUGCUUUUGUUUUUGUUUGUUUUGUUUCAAGACAGUCUUGCUCUGACACCUAGGCUGGAGUGCAGUGGUGUGAUUUCGGCUCACUGCAACUUCCAUCUCCCAGAUUCAAGUGAUUCUCCCACCUCAGCCUCUUGAGUAGCUGGGACUACAGGUGCCUGCCACCACGCCCGGCUAAUUUUUGUAUUUUGAGUAGAGACAGGGUUUCACCAUUUUGGUCAGGCUGGUCUCAAACUCCUGACCUUGUGAUCCACCUGCCUUUGCCUCCCAAAGUGCUGGGAUUACAGGUGUGAGCCACCACACCCAGCCUAUAUUUACCUUUUGGAGGAAUGGCCAGACUCUUUGCAAAGCAACUGCAUUGUUUUACAUUCACCAGCAAUGUAUGAGGGGUUCCAAUUACUCCACAUUUGCUUUGUCAUUUUCCCCUUUUAAAAAAAGUUAUAGGCUGGGUGUGGUGACUCAUGCCUGUAAUCCCUGCACUUUAGGAGGCUGAAGUUGGUGAAUCACCUGAGGUCAGGAGUUUGAGACCAGCUUGGCAACAUGGUGAACCCCAUCUGUACUAAAUAUACAAAAAUUAGCCAGGUAUGGUGGUGUGUACCUAUAAUCCCAGAUAUUUGGGAGGCUGAGGCGGGAGAAUCGCUUGAACCUGGGACGUGGAGGUUGCAGUGAGCCGAGGUUGUGCCACUGCACUCCAGCCUGGGCAACAGAGUAAGACUCCAUCUCAAAAAAAAAAAAAUUAUAGCCAUACCACUGGGUGUGAAAUGAUAUCUCAUUGUGGUUUUGAUUUGCAUUUUUCUAAUGACUAAUGAUUUUGAGCAUCUUUUCAUUUGCUUCUUGGCCAUUUUGAAAUCCAGUAAAUGUCUCUUUCAACUUUUUUCUUUUUCAAGAUUGUUUUUGCUAUUCUGAGUCCCUUACAUUUCCAUUUGAAUUUUAGGAUCAGCUUGUUACUUCCUGACAAAAAAUGCAACUGAGAUUUUGAUAGGGAUUACAUUUAAUCUGUAGAUCUAUCUGAAUAAUAUUGUUUCUUAAUCCACAAACAUGGAUAUCUUUUCAUUUAUAUAGGUUUUCUUUAAUUUCUUUCAAAAAUGUUUAUAGUUUUCAGUGUAUAAGUCUUACAUUUCUUUGGUUAAAUUUCUAAGAUUUUUAUUAUUGAUGCUUAUAUUAGUUUGCUUGGGCUACAGUAAUAGAAUACCAUAAAUGGUGUGGCUUAAACAAUGGAAACUGAACUUCUUACAGUUCUAAAGACUGGAAGUCUAAGAUUAAGCUGCCAGCAGAGUUGGUUUUGGGUGAGGCCUCUCUUCCUGGUUUGCAGACUGCCUCCUUCUUGCUGUGUCUUCACAUAGACUUUUCUCUGUACAUAUGUAGAGAGAGAGAGUAAUCUUUGAUGUCUCUUCCUCCUCUUCUUCUUCUUCUUCUUUUUUUUUUUUUUUGAGACAGAGUUUUGCUUUUGUUGCCCAGGCUGGAGUGCAAUGGCACAAUCUCAGCUCAACACAACCUCUGCCUCACGGGUUCAAGUGAUUCUCCUGCCUCAGCCUCCUGAGUAGCUGGGACUAUGGGUAUGGGCCAGCAUGCCUGGCUAAUUUUUUAUUUUUAGUAGAGAUGGGGUUUCUCCAUGUUGGUCAGGCUUGUCUUGAACUCCUUACCUCAGGCGAUCUGCCCACCUUAGCCUCUCAAAAUGCUGGGAUUACAGGUGUGAGCCACUGUGCCCAGCUGGAUAAGGAUUCAGUCUUUCACCAACAAGUAUGAUGUUAGCUGGGGCUUUUUGUAGAUGUCCUUUAUCAAAUUGAUGGCAUUUCCUUCUAUUCCCAGAGUGGGAAUGUUUUAUGUUUUUAUCAUAAAAAAAUAUUGGAUUUUGGCCAGGCACGGUGGCUUACACCUGUAAUCCCAGCACUUUGGGAGGCUGAGACAGGCAAAUCACCUGAGAUCAGGAGUUUGAGACCAGCCUGGCUAACAUGGUGAAACCCUUUCUCUGCUAAAAAUACAAAAAUUAGCCGGUGUGGUGGCAGGUGCCUGUAAUCCCAGUUACUCAGGAGGCUGAGGCAAGAGAAUCGUUGGAACCUGGGAAGCAGAGGUUGCAGUGAACAGAGAUCGUGCCACCCCAGCUUGGGCGGCAGAGCAAGAAUCCAUCUCAAAAAAAAAAAAAAAGAUAUUGGAUUUUGUUUAAUGCUGCU
Molecule: non-coding RNA, 8848 nt
Organism: Callithrix jacchus (white-tufted-ear marmoset)
Lineage: Eukaryota; Metazoa; Chordata; Mammalia; Primates; Cebidae
Source: RefSeq, a predicted model, not a curated record